This is a small nucleolar RNA of Heterocephalus glaber (naked mole-rat), 132 nucleotides long. NCBI's taxonomy places the organism in Eukaryota, Metazoa, Chordata, Mammalia, Rodentia, Bathyergidae. The record is from Ensembl.
CAUCCUCAGCCUUACUCCAGGGACUUUUGCUUGUAACGCACCUUGGCAUUGCCUGAAGAUAGAUGAGAAAGCACAUCUCUCUCCCCAGUAAGCCUCUGCUUUCUUGUGGGGCCUACACACUGCACUGACAGG